GACGAACGCUGGCGGCGUGCUUAACACAUGCAAGUCGAACGGAGUGGCGAACGGGUGAGUAACACGUGGGUGAUCUGCCUUGCACUUCGGGAUCAGCUUGGGAAACUGGGUCUAAUACCGGAUAGUGCAAGAUGAGCUCGCGGCCUAUCAGCUUGGUGUUGGGGUAAUGGCCUACUAAGGCGUCGACGGGUAGCCGGCCUGAGAGGGUGUACGGCCACAUUGGGAAUGGGAGACGGCCGAGACUCCUACGGGAAGCAGCAGUGGGGAAUAGUGCACAAGGGGCGGAAGCCUGAUGCAGGGACGCCGCGUGGGGGAGGAAGGCCUUCGGGUUGUAAACUCCUGUCGCCAGGGACGCGGUACCUGUAUAAGAAGCACCGGCUAACUACGUGCCAGCAGCCGCGGUAAUUC
Molecule: ribosomal RNA, 408 nt
Filed under: uncultured bacterium
Lineage: Bacteria
Description: partial 16S ribosomal RNA
Rfam family: Bacterial small subunit ribosomal RNA
Source: RNAcentral